AGCGAACGCUGGCGGCAGGCCUAACACAUGCAAGUCGAACGAACUCUUCGGAGUUAGUGGCGGACGGGUGAGUAAAACGUGGGAACGUGCCUUUUGGUUCGGAAUAAAUCAGGGAAACUUGUGCUAAUACCGAAUGUGCCCUUCGGGGGAAAGAUUUAUCGCCAUUAGAGCGGCCCGCGUCUGAUUAGCGAGUUGGUGAGGUAACGGCACACCAAGGCGACGAUCAGUAGCUGGUCUGAGAGGAUGAACAGCCACUCUGGGACUGAGACACGGCCCAGACUCCCACGGGAGGGAGGAGUGGGGAAUCUUGCGCAAGGGGCGAAAGCCUGACGCAACCAUGCCGCGUGAAAGAUGAAGGUCUGAGGAGUGUAAAAUUCUUGCACCGGAGAAGAUAAUGACGGUACCCGGAGAAGAAGCCCCGGCUAACUUCGUG
This 433-nucleotide ribosomal RNA is filed under the name uncultured bacterium. RNAcentral describes it as "partial 16S ribosomal RNA". It matches the Rfam family "Bacterial small subunit ribosomal RNA", at positions 29 to 507 of the family's 1533-position model. The record is from RNAcentral.